GACGAACGCUGGCGGCGUGCUUAACACAUGCAAGUCGAACGAUGAUGCCCAGCUUGCUGGGUGGAUUAGUGGCGAACGGGUGAGUAACACGUGAGUAACCUGCCCCUGACUCUGGGAUAAGCGUUGGAAACGACGUCUAAUACUGGAUAUGACUGCCGGCCGCAUGGUCUGGUGGUGGAAAGAUUUUUUGGUUGGGGAUGGACUCGCGGCCUAUCAGCUUGUUGGUGAGGUAAUGGCUCACCAAGGAGACGACGGGUAGCCGGCCUGAGAGGGGGACCGGCCACACUGGGACUGAGACACGGCCCAGACUCCUACGGGAGGCAGCAGUGGGGAAUAUUGCACAAUGGGCGAAAGCCUGAUGCAGCAACGCCGCGUGAGGGAUGACGGCCUUCGGGCUGUAAACCUCUUUUAGUAGGGAAGAAGCGUAAGUGACGGUACCUGCAGAAAAAGCACCGGCUAACUACGUGCCAGCCGCCGCCGUAA
Molecule: ribosomal RNA, 483 nt
Filed under: uncultured bacterium
Lineage: Bacteria
Description: partial 16S ribosomal RNA
Rfam family: Bacterial small subunit ribosomal RNA
Source: RNAcentral